UGUGAAUCAAGUUGAAAAACUUGUAGUACACGAGCUCGUGCAACUUGUCUAAUAAGUGAGUGCAGUUUAGUAUUGUAAAAGGAAUUCAUGUUUAAAAUGAAUCGUAUUAUUAUCUUUCAAGUAAUUUUUUCGCCAUUUCUCUUCAAUGUUUGCAAAAACGAACCAUUAAAAAGUAUUGAUUAUGUUCCAACGAGUGUUCUGUAUACGACUGAAAGCGAACCGGUUACGACUUGGUGCCGUACCCAAAUCCCACACCACAAAGUAAAUUUUAUUUGGACAAUCGAUAACUUCGAUUAUUACGAAGCUGCAGAAAGUUCCUUGAAAUCCCCCGAAUUCUCAGCUAGAACAAAUGAAAAAUUUAAAUGGUUUUUAGAACUUAAUCCUAAUAGAGGGGAUGGCGCUAUGAAGAACAUCUCUUUAUACUUGUAUUUGGAUGCUAAAAGUGAACGGAAAAGAGCAUACGCGCAAUUCAAUUUUUCUAUUCUGAAUAAUCAGCUGGAAGAACGAUACACCAGUGCUUCUUCAGAAUUGCACUUCUUCCAAAAUAAAAGCUCUGCAAACAGCUCGUCAUCGAUUGGUUGGGGCUAUGCAGAAUUUGUUCAAAAAGACGAUUAUUUCAGGAAAAAUUUAUUAUCGAAUAACAAAUUAACAAUCCAGUGUAAAUUGUCGUUUUAUGCCAUCAACAACAUUGCUUCAAACAAAUCCGACACAUUUCAUCAAUGUAACACAUCCAUAAUUCAAACCGUGUAUCUUGAGACUAGUGUUUCUGAGAACUUCAAGAUUUUAGCGAGAAAAUAUGAAUUUAAGCCCACAGACUUGACACUUCGUGUAAAUAAUAACAAUUAUACGGCGCACAAGGACAUUUUAUCAGCGCGUAGUCCAAUUUUCGCUGCGAUUAUCCAAAACAAAACGAAAAAUAGCGAUCAAGAUUUCAUAGAUAUUAAAGAUACCGAUGAAGAAAUUGUAUCCGAAAUGUUGAGAUAUAUGUACACAGGAAAGUGUGAAAAUUUAGAUAAGCUGGCUGAUGGUUUAUUAGGAGCUGCGGAUAAAUACGACUUGAAUGGGUUAAAAGUAAUUGCCUCGAAUGCUUUGUUGAAGACAUUAUCGGUGGACAACGCAGCAGAUAUAUUGAUAUCGGCUGACAUGUAUCAUGCAAAUCAAUUGAAGUCUCAUGUGGUCACGUUCAUCGUCAGAAAUUCAGCCGAAGUUUUUAAUACGACAGCUUGGAUAAAUUUGGAAUUAUCGAAUCCACGACUCCUCGUUGACGUAUGUCGAGCCUUGUCUCAUAAACUAACGACUUUUUUAAAUUAAGUAAUUGUGGUUGAGUUAUUUUUUUCAGACCUGCUUAUGUGAUAAAAUUAAAAAUACUUAUUAAAAUGAUUUUUUUUUUCAACCUAAAUAGCCCUACCUUUUGAGAAAUUAUAGGUAUAGAAAUCUCAAAGGUAAAAAGGGAACCUUUUAGCGAGAAGUUGUUAUAGUAAAAACUGAGAAGCAAGAGUUAUUUUUUCCUAAUUAUAUAGAAAUCUCAUUGAAAAGCAUAUAGGUAGCUCUUGAAUGGGUUUGCCACCUCAAAAGGCUGAUUCGAUUAGGUAUCAAAUUGAAAAAUUAGGUUUUUAUUGUUUCGAUCGAGAGAAAAAAACUAUGAGUUUUACAAUACAAUAAAAAUUCAUAAAAAUUUUACUUAUGUUAGGAAAGAAAAACUGAAAAUCCUUUUGAUUUUAUCUUGGAAAAAUUUAUAAAAGUGCUUUCCAGUGAAAAGUUCGAGGCUUACGAGUUCGUAAUUUCCCUCCAUGAGAUAACAUGAUUAUUUCAAGUUUUAAAAUUUUAAAUUAAUUCGUCUGAGAUUUUAUAUAUUACCUAUUGGAAAACACGUGUUCCAAGAAUAAUAUGUAGGUACUAUAGAUAAAUAUCUACUGAUUAUCAGAGCAUGUUCAAUAGCAGCUGGUGAUAAAAUCCGUAAGACAUUUUAUAUUUUCAUAAUGAUAAUCGAAAAGUGCAAACAAAUGAGAAUUUACUAAUUUUAAUAAGAAUAGAUAAAUCAGGCAAGUACUGCACUUUAAACAAUUCAUAUAGGUACUUCGAGAAAAGUUUAUUCUGUUACUCGGAUUUCUUCAGUAUUCGGUACAAAGUAUUCAAGUUAUCAGAUUCAGGCGAAUGUAGGUACCUACUAUAGGUAUAGAAUGAACCGUUAACUGAAAGCGUGCAGGUUCCUACUUGGUGCCAUACUGAAACCUUACAUCACAAAGCAAAUUUUAUCUGGACAAUCGAUAGUUUUGAUUUUCACGAAACCGUAAUAGGAAAAACCUUGAUAUCGCCCAAAUUCUCAGCUAGCACUAAUGAAGAAUACAAAUGGUUUUUAGAGCUUUAUCCUAAUGGAAGAGAUGGCUCUGCAAAGGCCAUCUCUUUAUACUUGUCUUUGGAUCUUGAAAAUAAACAGAAAGGAGCAUACGUGAAAUACAAUUUUUCUAUUUUGAAUAACGAACUUCAAGAACUAGACUACACUAGGAAAACACUAUCGCGCUGCUUUCACAAUAAGAACUCAUCGUGCACACCGUUGUCGCCGCGGGGUUAUGGCUACCCUGAAUUUGUCGAAAAAGACGAUAUUUUCAGAAACAAAAUUUUAUCGAAUGAUUCAUUAACAAUCCAGUGUGAACUGUCAUUUUAUAUCUUAAACAACAACGGUUCAGAUAACAAACCUGAAAUGUUCCACCACUGUAAUACAUCUACGAUUCAAACAGAUUUUCUUGUGAAUAAUGUUUCCGAGAACUUGGAGAUUUUAGGGAAAAAAUAUGAAUUUAAACCCAGAGACUUGACACUUCGUGUAAAUAAUAACAAUUAUACAGCUCACAAGGACAUUUUAUCAGCGCGUAGUCCAAUUUUCGCUGCGAUUAUUCAAAACAAAACGAAAAAUAACGAUCGAGAUUUCAUAGAUAUUAAAGAUACCGAUGAAGAAAUCGUAUCCGAAAUGUUGAGAUAUAUGUAUACUGGAAAGUGUGAUAAUUUGGAGAAGCUGGCUGAUGGUUUAUUAGGAGCAGCGGAUAAGUAUGAAUUAAAUGGGUUGAAAUUAAUUGCCUCGAAUGCUUUGCUGAAGACGUUAUCGGUGGACAACGCGGCAGAUAUAUUGAUAUCAGCCGACAUGUAUCAUGCAAACCAAUUAUUGAAGUCUCCUGUGAUAAAGUUCAUCGUCAAAAAUUCAGCCGAAGUUUUAAAUACAGCAGCUUGGAAAAAUUUGGAAUCAUCAAAUCCGCGACUUGUCAUUGACGUAUGUCGAGCUUUGUCUCAUAAACUAACGACUAUUUUAAAUUAAGUAAAUUGUGAUUGAGUUAAGUAUUUUUUUCACACCUGAUGUAAUAAAAUUAAAAAUAUAUUAAAAUUAUUUUUUUUUCAA
Molecule: RNA transcript, 3388 nt
Organism: Planococcus citri (citrus mealybug)
Lineage: Eukaryota; Metazoa; Arthropoda; Insecta; Hemiptera; Pseudococcidae
Gene name: speckle-type POZ protein-like
Exons: 3
Source: RefSeq, a predicted model, not a curated record